Centrocercus urophasianus (Greater sage-grouse) is the source of this 11198-nucleotide long non-coding RNA. RefSeq lists it as uncharacterized. The record is from RefSeq and is a predicted model, not a curated record. The transcript has 3 exons. Lineage: Eukaryota; Metazoa; Chordata; Aves; Galliformes; Phasianidae.
GUCUUUAGUUAAUACACAAAUUCAGCUUAAAUUCUGGAUGGAAAAUAAAUCCCAAGUGGAGGCUCUGCUAAUAAGAUGACAGACGCUUCGGGAGCCGGGGCUGCUUGUCAGCAGAGUGGUUGUGACUGCUGAGAUCUGUGAGCAGCAACAUGCUCAGGCACAAGGUCCUUAAAGUUACCACGAGUUGUCGGACUAAAUUACAGAAAAAUUAGGCAGAUGGCUGAGGUGAGCUCUAGCUUGAACUGCUAGAGCUGAACACGUUACAGCAAACGCCCCAAUGCAAUCCUGAGUCCCACACUGUCAUGGAGAGAAAAGGAAGGAGCUGGAGCAUCAUUUUAGGUCUGCAAAGCUACAAAGCACCCUCCUUUCUGACUGUGUGCUGGUCUGAGGUUCUCUGCAGUACCUCUCCUUUCUCAGUGACCCACUGCAGGUCACCCCAGCGUGUCCAUCCCAGGGAACUUUCACCCCAGAGUUGGAAAGGAACUGAGGUGUGGAAGAAUUCCAGGUCAUCCCUGCAUCUCCUGCUGACCUGCCUCACCUUUUGCAUGACAUCUGCUCCUGUUCACUCAGCACAUGAGCCCCUUGCCAGGUAGCAGGCAGGAUUUUAGUCAUUUAGGUCUCAGAUCGAUCUUUCUGGGAAGGUUCAGGCCUCUUAGUUACAGUCAGGACCAGUGAUGCAGCACUGGCCUCAUAAGCAUGGGGAGCCUGAGAUCACUACUUCUUUGCUGUAGAUUUCCACUGGACCCUCCUUCUCUCCUCUGCAGUCUCAAUCAGAAAGUCUGAUAGAGUAAGGUUCUAUUUUUUUAAUUUUUAUUUUCAGGUUUUCUGGUCAAUAAUGUGCAGCUGCUUUGUUUUUCUGAGCUCUCAAGAGGAGAGAAAGGCUAAUUCUGGAGCCUUUUAGGGCUGUAUUUACUGCAGCAGGGAAAGCCCUGACCACUGUCAGUGGACAUCUAUAAUGCAAAGUGGGAUAUGGCUAGGUCUCUGCUGCAGCCUGUGGACAAGACUUAACAGCCUUAAAGCAUUGUAGGGGAGCUGUAGGUGGAUGCAGCUGUUCCUCUCCUCUCUGAUCCCUCGUAACUCCACUCUCAUCUGGGACCUGCUUGGGCCAGUUGAGGACCCUUUCUGAGUCUCAUGAAGAACUGCAACUGGUUUGAUAACAGCUUAUUUAAUAAGACAGCAUAAGAAGAGGAACACAGAUAGCAAGUAAAUCUAACAUCCCUUCAGGUGCUGGGCGAGCCCACAUUUGCACAUUGUCAGGCAUAGCCUGGCUGGGUUUCUCCUAUGGAGUAGGUCAGAUCCCAUCCCUGGUGAGAAGCUCUCCCUUUGGUCAUUUGAGCUAGGAUACAAUUUUCUUGUAAGAGAACAACUCUAUUCCUAAAAGACAUUCUCAUGAGAACUUUUCUCUGCAUUGUUAGUCUGGCACACAGAUCUGCAGGUGGUAUGAUUGCCCGUGUCAAGUGGGUGCUGCCUGUAGGCUCCUGCACUGCAAUGAGCUGCUGAGUCUGUCCUGUGGCCAAGGGGGUGCAGGGCAGCCAUGCUGGGUGUGCAGCACGGCACAGGCAUGGCUGCGCUUGAUUAAUAGAUGUGUCACAUAUGUGUAGGAUCAGGGCCAGCACUCCCCCACUUCUGUACCACUCCUGAGGUGUGGGUGCCUUCCUCCAGCUGUCACUGGUGACCCUUUUGGUGCAGUUGGGUGCUCCUGGCUCUAACCCAGGAUUUGGGCUUUGUGCAUCCACCACCAAAUCUGAGGCUUUCUGCAUAGUUUCAGCUUAUCCUGGCCUCCAACCUGAGUUGUGCACCUGGCACUCAGGCCCAGAUUCUGCACCAUAGACAACCCAGGUGGCCCUGGAUAUGUGUACAGACUGGGGGAGAGCAGCCCCUCAGAAAGGGAUCUGGGAGUUCUGGUUGAUGGCAUGAUGAGGGGAAAAGAGCUGCUGGUGCUGGAGAGAGCAGAGGAGGCUGGGGCUGUGGCAGCCUCUGUCACAGCCCCACUCCCAGCUCAUGAAGGGCUGAGGUUAGCCACAAAAUCAGUGCAGGGACACAGAGAUGAAGGUGACGGCUGCCCAUAGGCAAGGCCAGCCUUGCUCUGCCUAUGGUUCCUGCGUCACAGAGCUGCUUAUCCCCACUGGGUGAGGCAGGGAGCACGCCAUGCUUUGAUGGAGACAAGGAGCGGUUUAGAGGGAAUUAGAAGGGAUUUAUGGUGGUGGAGGAAAUCACAAUAAGCAUGGCCUGGGUCAGGGGCACUGGGCUGUAUGGAGGGGCUUGUCGCCUGGGCAUGCACCUGAGGAAUUACAGCAUUGGCAGCAGGGCUGCUCACAAGGGUUUCUCUUAAAGCCCCAGAUCCCAGAGCUGUGGGACACACAAAUCUUGGUUUCCUUGUAAAAAUUUUGUGGUAACAGAGAUGAGACAGAGAAUGUGAACCAGCAAAGCGCAUCCCACUGGAACGUGAGUAAACAUGUUCCAGCAUUUAUUAUCUUUCCAGUGUGCUUGAAAUCCAGCCCCAACCUGGGAGAGUCUAGCACUGUGGGUUAGCAACAUGGAGAACCCAAAGAAUCUCCCUGUUUGCAUGUCUGACCUGAGGUUUCUCCUUGCUUCCAGUUGUUUAACUGUUGUAUGGCUGCUUUGGGGACCACCGUCCUGCACCGAUAGCUCAGAAUCUGUUGUCCCAAGACUUUGUUGCAAGCAUCAUCUCUCUUGGCAGAUCACCUGGCUCCUCAGUGCUAGCUGAGUGUGCUGAUGCCACGUGCAUAACAACCAGGCUCUGCUCCACCAUGCUGUGAACUUUGAAUGGCAAAGACAUUGUCUGUUCCCCUUGACCCGCUGGGACAAGAGGUGCAGGCUGAUGAAUGACAGUGGUAUUGGCACAGGUGUUGACUCUAGUUGCUAAUGGUUAUGGAGGACAUCCUGCUGGACCCCGGGGGAGGGUGAGCUGCUGGAGCAGUUUCAUCUCACAGCCUCAAGGAUGCCAGGAUGCAGCAGUGCCUGGAAAAACAUAGGCAGGCUUCUCCAAAGGAGCUUGGGAUCUGGCGGGUGGGUGGGGUGCUGACAGCUCCUCCAGCUGCCCUCAGACUGCUGCGAAGAGCCUGCCUUCACCUUCCACUCGGCACCCAGGCUGUCAGUGAGAUGUUUGUGAGCUCCCCGUGGUGUCUGGCAGGACUUGCCCACUCAGAAAUCAUAGGGCUCGGUGGUGUUGGCAGGCGGGGAUUUGGGAUGCAGCUGGGCUGUACCAGAGGGUUUUACCCCAGCUGUGUAAUGCAUAGCCAAGCUGCUAGCUGUCAGAAGCAGUAGGGUGCAUGUCCCACAUCCCCGCUGCUGAGCACUAGCAUUAGCAUAGUUUCCCUCGGUUACAAUAAGAGAUAAGAAUGGGGAAGGCUAGGAAUCUACUGUCAGGUGAAAAACAUCCAAUUGCUGCCAUUCCCAAAGGCACCGGCAGAGAAAACUCAGCCAGGUUCUUGCUGGAGCUUUGCCUGGAGCUGGUCCUGUGUUGCACACUUAAUGCUGGGAGGGUUCCUGCUCUGCAUCUUGCAGCUUUUCAGAUAGCAUCCUUGGGAGGAGAUCACAAGACAGGAGGAAGAGGACAGUCACAGCGCAUGUGAAGCUGCACCAAUCAGAGGACUGCAGGGAAGAAGAUGGAGACGUGGUGGGGGAGCAACAUGAGUCCCCACAUAAUCAUGGCAGAGGGUCAGCCAAUGAGUUAGCUGAGCAGGUCUUUGAGCUGGCAGGAGGACAGGCCAGGUGUCUGGUGGAUGGUGGCUGUGUGUGAGGUCUUCACCUGUGCUGCCAUUGCUGCUGCUGCAGAGCCCUGUGGAGCAACAGAGGCACUGUGUGGACUGGCAGUGCCCCAGCUGCUUGGGAAACAGUGGUGACGCAGAUCUGAACCUGGGGCAUCCCAUAAGGUGUGUGUUUUUUCCACAGCUGUAUCUCCAUGGACAAAGUGUGUGAGAUCUUGGGAAUAGAGAGAGACACAGGCAGAACAUUUUUAACUUUGGCUGCAAAGCCCGGCAGUCUGAGUCUUAGAGUGGCUUGCCUCAAGGUCAUGAAGCAAAGGCUACUAUGGAGGAAUGGGCGAAGCAAGCAGUGCUGCUCUAACAUACUUCUGGACAUCUUUUACCUAAAACAAGUGCAAAAGUGCUUUUGAUUCACCAUGUAGGCUUCUCUGAAGAUCUUAUGUCUGGCACAGACAGCCUCUAACAAAGCUCCAAGGUGACACAGCAACUUGUCACUGGCCUUGUCAGAUCCUGAGGCCUCAUUCUACUGAGUAUGGAUUCAGAUGCCCAUGGAACUGCUAGCUUUUGCUAGCUGUAGCUGGAUGCUGUUUUCCUGCUGUCAGAGGAGAGGUGAGGGUUGGGCUGACCUGCAUUUUGUUAGAACUGCUUCAUCGUUUAAUGCGUAAUUUGAUGGAGGUAAAACAAACUGCAGCAGGAAUUGUGCUGCUCAGAUAGGCAGUUUUCGUUUCUCUCUCACAAAGAGCUCUGUUGAGUGUCUGCAGCAUGUGGUGUGCGGUGCUCUUGGGCAAGGAGAAGACCUGGCUCUCCUGUCCCAGUGAGUGUGGACAUCUCCUGCCAUGACUCCUUGUUGUGUUGCUACAGGGCUAUUCUCUGUCACAGAUGCCCAUUAGCAGCCUGCAUCUGUGCUGUCGAACACAGCUACUGAUACAGGGUGGUUAUGAGAGAAGGAGCUCUUGAACUGUAAAUUUUUUUUCUUGCUAGGUAAAACAGUGUCAGGGAAUCUUCAGCAGCAUAGGAGUGCAACCACACGUUGCCCUCAUGCAGUUCGAUUUAUUGACUCUGCUGCAUCUUUGUGUCUGUCUUCUGGGAUAUUCCAGCUAAUAGCAGCAGCAAGGCUCCUGUGGUGCUCGGUGAUGCAAAGGUUGAGCCUUUGGGGAACACUUCUGUAGUGACCACUGUUUACUGUCUGGUAGUACUCGUAACCCAGCAAAAAAGGAAACCCAAAUGCAGGUAUAUUUUCCAGGAAUGCAGGAGUGGUGAGUGGUGUCUCAGAAGGAGCUUUUCUCCAACCAUGCCUUUCUUCUAAUCCCGUCACAGAAGAUGCUGGGUGCUGGGAAAGGUCCAUCUAAACUAUGACCAAAAUGGGAGAGCUCUCCAUCUCUUUGCACAAGGCUGCCUGGUGCAGUUCAUGAAGGCUGAGGCUGCUGCAGAUCCAUCCCACCCUCUGUGGCCCGCAGGAGCCUGCAACCAUGGCAGCUCCAGGCGAGUGGGAGGGUUUUCAUGUGAUGACUUCUGCAUGGUGAUGCCCACAGAGAUUUUCCAUUCCUUAGAGUCUGGAGGAAGGAGGGCAUCCCUGGGAGGACCUGAGGCCUGCCAGCGGGCCAUGAAGACAGAGUGCUUUGCUGUAGUCAGGACAGAGCCUGGGCUAAUGCUGACUUUGGUGGUGCUGCAGGCUGCUCCUGGGCAGGAGCUGGCCCUCCAUUGCAUUCGGUAUGCUUGUUGGAGCUCACAACUGGAACAUGCUGUCCUAGAAAACUGCAAAAACUGCAUUAGUCCCAGAGUCUCUGAGGCUGUUGCUCCUGCAUAGCCAUAUCCAGUCACAGGAAAGUGGGACAGGAGAGACCUGGCAGCAGCUCAGGUGUGGGGAGGAAACCACAAGGCUCUGUGCUGCCACUGGUGUGAGCCUGGCAUGGCUUCUCCUCAGAUGCUUGGAAAACUGUGAAGGGGAAAUCAAGGUAAAGAGGAUGAAGGCUAGUGACUCAAGUUCAGCUGCAUGUUUUUUUCUAUGCCUAAAACUUUCUCAGGUCCUAAUUAAGGACACAUUAAGUGAUUAGUGUCACCUGUGAUUUAAUCAAGGUUAAUAGGCAGCACCUGUCAUUAAUGGCAACCAUGACAACCAUGACACGAUGCAUAUCAGCUGCAGCUUGCUCUUCCAAAGUACGGAGCAAUCUACCUGCAGAGAGGUGCUCAGCCUAUCACAGUACCACUUUGUGUUGAAAGGGACUCUCGGGUUAAAAUCAUAUCUAGAAAUAAUAAUGCAUUCCCUUACCUCUGUUUCUAAUAGCACAGUUGAUACAGGGAAAUCAGGGGAUAUUCAGAAAUGAGGAGAGGUUCUCUCUGUGGUUUUGCCUGUGUAGCCACCCACGUGCACAGCCCAAACAUAUUUUUAAUAAUCACAAGCAGUGUCUUUAGGGAAAGACGCUGAAACUUUCACUCUAAAUUGAUUUCUGCUCCAUGUGUGGCUCCCAAGAAUAUUCCAUGGGCGUAUUUUUUGGGAGUAGGGGGUCAGUGAGGGGUAUGUCUCACAGUGCAGCAUUGUCAAGGGCUUGGUGUAACUUACAUUUGAUUCCUUGUGCACCUGCUAUGCAAAGUGAUUUUAUGUGUUUUGAUUGCCAGGCUACAGAGACAGGUCAUGCAGGGAUGCUGAUGAGUGUCUAGCCAGUGCUCAAAUACGUUCUAACAGCAGUGGGUCUGGAUGCAGGCCUGGAGGCUUGCAAGGGCUCUGCCACAGAGCCACCACUUCCAUUUCACAAUUUGCAGACCAGUCGUGAAGCCCUCCUGAUCCCCACUUUCACCCGUGUGCUUUAAGCUGCUAGGACACGAGGAACCCUGUUUAAAGCUGGCUGUAUCCUCAUACAUGAACACAAGUGCUGGGAAUUGCAAGAGAUGUUGAAGUAUGCGGACUGACUGGGAGAAGUGAUGAGUUGUGCCCUGGGAUGAGGACAUAUCUGGAGGGACCAGGAAAGGCAGUGCAUCUUAGCAGAUGUGCUUUACCUCUGGAAUCAGCUGUGUGAGAGCUGCUGGCAGGUUUUGCAUGCCAUUCAACAUCUCCCUGCAGAUGAAAGAUCCCUCCCUAAACUCCUGUUUGAGGGGACAAUUAAUCUGCAAAACAGAUGUGGAAGGGCAUCUGGACAGCUGUACCCAAAGUUCCUACACAUUUGCCUGGAACAAGCUGCAGCAUUUUGGCAUGCAGUGUCAUAUGCUGGAGCAGACCCUGGGCAGGGGAAGCUGGUGAAGACAUUCUCAUGGAUUGCCAUAGUUGUAGUGCUUGUGCAAAACCAUUUGUAUAACCUGAUGAUCUGUCCUGUUAGCAGAGGCUUUGGGCAAGAAGUAAUCACAAUUCUGAUCUGGGCAAAGUGUUUCCCAGGCAUAGGCUGAGCUUUGGGACUGUGGUCCAAGGGCAGGAGCUGCCAGGCAGACCGGCAAUGCCCUGAGUUAUGGGGUGACAGGGCUAAUGAGGCUGAAGCCUGGAACGCCCUAUCUCUCCCUCUAGGAUGGGAUGUAGUCUGAAGAUAGGUGUGACUGGCGGUUCUGCAUGCUUCAUUUUCACAUCUCAACAUCAGCUCAGCUUGUUCUUUUACAGAGGGCUGGGAGGAGUGGGGUCAGAAGGUCCCAGCUGUCUGGAACUGCCUGUCCUGAUCCUGGUGCCCCGUUUCAAUGCCUGGGGAAUGGGCUCCAUCCUCCUUUCCCCUCCCUGCUGGCAGCCCUCCUCUGACAGAACUGCCUUGCUUCAGCCCUGCCACAGCCCAUCUGGGAACUGCCUGGGUGCAGGCAGAAGGGAGCAGCAGCCUUCCUGCUGCCAGACACUGAGCAGAUGGUUUCAUCCACACCUAGACAAGACUCUGUCUACUGGGCUGACAUCAGAGGCUAAACAGUUGUGUGAACACAUUCCCUCUGUCAUCGCUGACUUUUCCUGUGCAGUUGUCCUGAGGGACAAAGAGAGGGGUCAGCAUGUGGGAUGUCUGAGCACGUGGAACAUCUUGAUGCCAGCCCAGCUCUGCAGGGACUGAGUGCAGAGGAAGCACGGGACGCAGCUGCUGGGCGUAGCGGGGCUCGUUUUGCAGAGGUUGCCGGUCGCACACUGACCGCGGUGCUUGCCAGCUCCCGAGGGAGGAAGCAAUCUGUGUCAUCUCACAGCGGGCUUCCUUAAAUCUCAGCCUGAUUAAGUGGUGGCAAUAUGGGCUGCCCGAUAUGAAACAGCCAGCUUCCUUCUCUGAAAAGGGCCGAUCGUUAGUGCAGAAAUAGCCUGUUAAUGGUGUGCAUUUUCCUACAGUCAGAGGCCAGUAACAGCGGAAUCACUAGAUUCUGACUGUGUGGGUAGAUUCUAAAGACGACCAGCAUCACAUAUUGGUUACAAAGUGAGUCUGCCAUGCUUCUGAGAAAGGUGAAUUUGAACACUCUGGGUUUCUUUUCAACAUCAAGAUGUGUGAGGGAUUUAGGGAAUAUCCUCUCAGUUUCUGACAUCUUGUCUGACCUUUAGAAUGCCGUCCUUGUGCUUUCUGUGCUGAGAUAUGGGCUGAAAUACCCAUGGACUGCACGCAGAGAUGGUGAAGCUUGCAGAAAGCUUUGCUGUAGAAGAAGAGAUGGUGCAGAAGGCACUUGGAAGGUUUUUUUUGUGGCAGUGGUUUUCCAUCAGCACAUUUACUGAGAGCUGUAUCACAGUCUGGAAAGAGAGUUUAAUGCACAGACUGCUGAUAAAGAAGUGCAGUAAGUAGUUACAUUAGAGUUAUUUAUUCAUUUCAAAGAGAUAAAAGCUUUCUGAAAUCAGUGCAGUCAUCUUAGCUUGUGGCUGUUGUUUUUCUUAGUUUCUUGUGUAUUUUAGAGAUCCAAUUAAUUUACAGGCAAUGACUGAUGCUGAGAAGAAUACAGCUCAAGCUGAACUGUUUAUUUUUCUUUCCCUUCGUUCUCAGAAAGCGAUGAGCUGGGGCCUGCCUCGGUGGUGGGUCUCCAGCAUUCAACAAAUAGGAAUAAAAUACUGUCAGCUAUGUUUGUGCUGAGACACAGUCAAACAUUAGCACUUCUCCAGUUUGAAGAGCGAAGAGUUAUGGAGGUAUUGUAACUAACAGCAUCAAUGCAUUUUGCCUGGUGAACACUAUGUAGGAAGCAUAAAUUAAGAGUUGUCCACUGGAAUCCUCUGGAGAUGUGACCUGGAGGACACCAGCCUCAGGUGCUGCUGUAUGCAGAUUCCCUGCACUGCAGGGAGAAAUGUGGGAUGGCCUUGCCUUGCACACUCCUUAAUUUCAGCAUGCUGGUUAGAAGGGAACAUCAAACUUGGAGAUAUUUAUGUGCAACUUCUACCUGAAAAGCUUUCUGAGAAACCCUGCCAUCCUUUACGGACGUGUUAUGUAGGGAUUUCUCGCUCCCUGUUGGAAGGCAGGAGUCUCAAUGAGUUGGACCCUCGUGAACAGCGCAGUGAUGCUUCGCAGGCAGUUAUGACCUCCAGCACAGGGCUGUGCUGAGGAGCAGCCUUCAGCAGUUGGGAUCAGAUCUGAAGUAUUGCUAUCAAGGGCAUCUUUUUCCUGGGAGCUGUCUCUGACUUCCACACUACAUAACAAAGUUCCCAGUGCUUGGGGAUGAGCACCUUGCACUGUAAUCUUUGCCCAGCUCUGCUCUGAGCCCCGUGCUGUGCUCUGAGACACUGUCAGCAGUUGCUGGGGUUUCAGCAGUGCCAGAUUCCUAUGAUCCCAAAGAGGUGUGGAGGCCAAGCAUGAUCUAACUGUUGUUCAUGAUCUGCCAACCAUUAGAGGCUGAACUGAUCUCCUUCAAACAAGAGCCCAUGGGCAAAAAAGCUGUACCUGUGGUAUGGAGAGGACCUGAAAGCAAAACAGAGCUGUGGGCAGCGUAGGCACGCACAGAGGGAGCUCAGUGGCCCCCAGUGCCCUCCAGAGAUACGUGUUCAAGCCCUCCUUCCUGGACAUCCCAGCAUGGCUCUUGCCUCCCUGAUGAGCGUUGCCCUGGGCUGCUUGGGCAAGUAGGCCUCAUUUUCCGUGGAGAGGUUCAGUUUGAGACCUGAAGCUUGUUUCAGUGUAGGGCCUGGGAUUUAGACCAACCUGCUGGCCCAAGAAGAAGAACCACUGUCUGCCAGGAAGGAAAAUCCCUCUCCUCUUGAGUCAUGUUUGGGUAACCUGUUUCAUUCCCCUUAAAGUCUAUCUAGAACCUGAUGGCAGGUGCUAAUAACUUCAUUGGGAUUUAGAAUCAUAGAACAGAAUCAUAGAAUCACUAGGGUUGGAAAAGACCCCUGAGAUAUCUAGUCCAACUGUCCGCCUACCAUCAGUAUCGCCCACUUAAACCAUGUCCCUGAGUACCACCUCUGCACCCACCAUCAUCUCCUGAUGAUGACUGUCCUUCUGAGGAAGCCUUUUUUAUGCAGCUAUCUGCUGUCACAUUGAAGCAAGGUUAGGCCAGUCCCUGGGGCUUUUCACUGAGGCAAGCAGGGCUGGCCUCAGCUUGUAAUGCAGGUGGCCAACUGGCCUCAUGUAUUCCACGUUAUUCUUUCUGCCUUGGGGAAAGGCCAUGCACCACCGAGGUCCUGAUUACUGUGAUCCUGUUUGAACUGUUCACUGUCUGACGAGUCUUACUCUCCCUGUCCUCUUCUAGGAGCUGAUAAUCCUCUCCCUCCAAUAACACCUUUCUCUAGUCCUCUUUUUCCCUUUUUCCCUAGUACUGGUGUCACCGUGCUCUGUUCACGUCUCUUUCAGCCUCCUCUUUUCUUUCUGAUCACGUCCUGGCCAUCCCCCUGUGCCCCGACCCAGCUUUCCUUGCUGCCUUACCUCUCUGCAGCUCAUCACCACUGGCGUGUCCCAACAGGCUGGCAACACUUGCAAAAUGAAAAUAUCUUCUACCACAUUUUUCAGUUUUGCCACCAAAAUCUGACAGCCAAGAUUAUGAAGCGGCUUCUGCUGCUCACUGUGUGCUUGCUGACCUGAAGGCAACCUAGCCAAGGCUCUCCUGAGCAGUUCUCAAGCCAUUCUUGCUCUCAUGCUUUGCUGCUCCAGGAAGAAAGGACAGUUCUUGGAUCACCGUAGCCUGCUUGACUUCUCCAAUCUCAAAUUAUUCUGCUUUUGACAUAGGCAGCAGGCUAGCAGCUGGCACUUGUGAGAGCUGAGGAGGGAUUGUUUUCAGGACAACAGGAAAGAAGAGACUGACAAUGCAGAUGGAAUGGAAGAAAAUGACAAGUGAUUAAACAUCUGUAGAUGAAUGGAGAUGCAGCUUAAGAGAUUGACUGUCGCCUGCUGAGUGGAGAGAUGGAAGGAAAGAUUGCGUUCAUGUGCACCAGGAUUGCAAAUCCCACCCUCCCCCAGCAGAUCUUAAAUUGUGUUUGUUAUUUAUUUUGAGCCUUCCCAUGUAUAAGCCUUCACACAGCUCUGUACUGCACCUUUAUAGCCCCAGCUACUAUUUCUACCUCCCAGAACCUCUGAUCUUGUUUUCUGGGCAGAGAUCCUACAAAAUAAAACUUAUGUGGUAAAACAA